CAUCUGGUGCUCGCCAUUAGCCGGGGCCCCUGCCCCCUGGGCCUUCCGCUCCCCGGGAGGAAUAAUCCCGCUUCCUCUAACCUUUCGGCUGGGUCCCGUGCUCCGGGCCUUUCAUCAUGUCCAUCGUGGCCUCUGAAGCCACUCCAGGCUCCCUGGCCCUCCUAUGGCUUCUGCUGGGCUGGGCCAGGCGAAUCGGCAGGGGUCGGGGCAGGGGGUGAACAACCCGCUCUCUUCUCGGCACAAAGAGAGGUGGGGGUGGGGGCAGCCACGUCCAGGGAAAGGAGGCGGAGGUCAGGGCCCUGCCCAGGUUCCCCGCUGCCAGGGUCGGCUGAGUGGAGUCAGGGUCUUUGGACUGUUGGACCACUGGAUGAGGGGGGUGGGGCCGAACGGAGACCACGGGGCCUGGAUGCUGGACAGAGGAUGCCCAAGAUGGAUGCGGGUUGGAAUUCCAGGCGCAGAAGGCCAUCCGAGCCCGGGCGCAUGGGGAAAGCUUUCUGCCCCAGGAAACUCAUUUGGAGGCCCCUCCAGGUGAUGGGGUGAAUUGGGCCUAAAAGCAGGUUCUAAGCCCCUCUUUUUAACCCCCUGUUCCCCACUCCGGCCUGCAGACCAUUACCGAGAUGAAAGCCCAGAGAAUGCCUUUGGACCACGACUGCGGGAUCUAAUUGAAUUAUAUGAACGCAGUUAAACGCCUGCUUCAGAGAGGCAGGGCUUGCUUUCAAGACUGGAUGCUUCAGGAGUUAAUGGGCUAUUUGAACAAUAUAGGCCGAGAGCCGAACACAGGUCUCAUCUCUCAUCCCUCCUCCACUGUGUGGACCGUCAGCCAGGAAUGCCUCCCUCUGUCCCCCAUGGACCCCCCUCCAUCCUGAGUCCUCAACCCUGCUGGAGUCAAUUUAAAUGCAACCUCCUCCAGUUCCACAUCCCAUGACAUCAUGGGUCACUUGAAAUCAACCACGGUUGGAGUAUUUACACCAGGGAAAUUGGCAAACUCUACAAAUCAGGGUGUGGCCACCUCAUACGAAGAGUUGACUCAUUGGAAAAGACUCUGAUGCUGGGAGGAAUUGGGGGCAGGAGGAGAAGGGGACGACAGAGGAUGAGAUGGCUGGAUGGCAUCACUGACUCGAUGGACGUGAGUCUCAGUGAACUCCGGGAGUUGGUGUUGGACAGGGAGGCCUGGCGUGCUGCAGUUCACGGGUCACAAAGAGUCGGACAUGACUGAGCGACUGAUCUAAUCUGAUCUGAUCUGAUGCUUUUUCUCUGGGGAACUGGUGGCGAGACCUGUAUCAGCACACCACUGGAUUAUAGGGAAGAGUCAAUAAUAAAGAGCACAGUGCCUGCUACCUACUAAGUGCUUAAUUAAAGUUCGCUUAGAUGAAGACUGGGCGUCCCAGGUGGCUCAGCAGUAAAGAAUCCUCCUGCAGUGCAGGAGACACAGG
This is a long non-coding RNA of Bos taurus (domestic cattle), 1433 nucleotides long. Lineage: Eukaryota; Metazoa; Chordata; Mammalia; Artiodactyla; Bovidae. The record is from Ensembl.